GGGUGGGGUCUGGGGCUCCGUGCACCCCGCGCCGGGGAUGCUUUCUCCCUAGCUUGUUGCGCCGUCCGGUUCUGCCCCAGCCUUAGAUCUCAGCUCUGAGCUGCCCUCACAUCCCUGCAGAUCUUUUCUGGCCACACUGGUGGCCCGCGGGGUAUGGCUGCUUCCGUCUCGCGGCGUUGGCCUCCCUGACUGGCCGCCGGUGUAGGGCGCCGUGGGCGGGGUCCCUGGGGCGAGGCUGCCUGGCCUCCGCGGUUGGUUCGGCGGCCGCGGGGCUGCAGCUCCCGGCUCGCACUCCAUCAUCGACGGAUGACAGCGGGAACGGUGGGAGUUCAUUACAGGGACCAUGAAUUGUUGGAGGUAAUUUAGAUUACAAUUUAAAGUUUAAUUUAAAAAUCUAUCAACAAAUGUGAAAGUACUGGAGGAACAUUUUAAAAUGCACUUUAAUCUCACCAGCACAAAUAGCUUCUCGGGGCUCUAAACAUCAUCACCUGGAAAAACAGUAAAACUUUACUGCAUCUUUAAUUAAAUUACAAACACAAAGGAUAA
This is a long non-coding RNA of Homo sapiens (human), 546 nucleotides long. The record is from Ensembl. NCBI's taxonomy places the organism in Eukaryota, Metazoa, Chordata, Mammalia, Primates, Hominidae.